Molecule: unclassified non-coding RNA, 4507 nt
Filed under: Eurytemora carolleeae
Lineage: Eukaryota; Metazoa; Arthropoda; Copepoda; Calanoida; Temoridae
Description: mutS protein homolog 4
Source: RNAcentral
UCAUGUUUCUACCCAACGUUUACACAAAAGAGAAUUUUUAAAGGAAAAAAUGAAGCGACUUCUAGCCUCUACUCCUAUCGACGCGGAAACUUGGAGAACUAGAAAUCAAGAAGUUGACAAAGAAAAUGAAAGAACGGAUAAAUACAAGGGUAUUCUUACUCCCGGUCUUACUCCUGUACCUCAUGCCUACCCGGAUACCCGUGGUUCAACCCCUGAAAUUUCUACUCCUGCUCCAGUCAACAAAUUGCUAGCGUACUUAUCAGAAGAAAACUCGCUAGGAUACCCUCAGCCACCCGGAAUAGGAGCUCUAGCGGCGUCAACCCCAGCAUAUUUAGGCAAAAAUCCUCCUACUUUUGCUCCGAGUGUAGUUGGAGAAAAUAUAAACCAAGGCGCGGAGUUCAGGGGACAUAACCCAUUCAGGUUCGGUUUUACGGAACAGACUGAAAGAUCGUUGAGAAAAAUGAAAAUUCCAGGAGAUACUAAUUCCGGAGUUGGGUUAGGUUCUAUUAGAGAAAGCACUCCAGGGUUUAUCUUUGGACAUCAAGUAGAAAAGACUAACGGGCAUGGGUUUGUAGAUCUAGGUGGAGAGACUCCAGGGUAUAGUUUUCGUACUGGAGAGACAAAUUCUUUCUUCGGGUUUGGUGCUAUUGGAGAAAAAACUCCAAGAGAAGGUAUUAAUAAAACAGUAGAUACUCCCGGAGUGGAGAUUGAAGACAAGAGUACAGAUUGGGGAAACUUCUUCGAUAGGUCCAAGCACAGAUUUGGAAAUGACAACGUUUCAUUUGGGCCAUUUGAUUUUGCAGGUACUGGUGGAACUGGUGAGAACUCACUGAGUUUCCAAAUUAAUUUACCAGACAAACCUCCUGUCACCAACUUCAAUCUAUUCAACAGUGAAGAAAGAUUGAACGAAGAGGAAGAAAGAGAGAAGAGAAAUAUAUAUUUUCCAAUUGGGGAUGAGUCUAGGAAUCUGUACCUAGAAGAGGGAUCUGAGAGAGCUGAGACUUCGUUUAAACUUCCUUGUCCGGAACCUCGUCCCAACUUCUCUCCUCCGAAACCAGUUUUUAUGCACCAGACUAAGGGGUGUUCCAAUCGAAGUUCAAUGGCCAGCAAUUUGUAUGGGCGAGGUAUGGAUCUUUCUUUAGAUGAAACUCUACAGACGGGACCAGCUAGACCAGGACGAGUAGACUCGGACUUGGAGCAGGGAAGCACGAGCGCGUUGCACAAGGAUACUGUUGAAAAGCUGAACGAGUUCUCUGCUCGGUUGCGUGCGUUAAAAUCUCCGGGUGUUAAAAGAGCUCCAGGUUUCGGAUUGCGACCUACCCCAAGAGGAACCUCUACUCCUAAGAGCGCUGGAACCCGAACCCCCCGAACUCCUAAAUCUGUUGCGUCUACUCCGUGUCAUAAUUUAACCCUGGUCCCAGAACCAGACUUGAUCGCCGCCAUUAUGGAAGGUCGUGGGACAGCCAAGGGAGAGGUUGGGAUUGCUGCAAUACAGAUCUCUAACCCUGUUCUCUUUCUUUGCCAGUUCUCUGAUAGUCCAACCUAUCCUAGAACCCUGAGUAAACUACUGAGCUUCAACCCUGCGGAGAUUAUCUGUCCUGGGAACACGAACCUUUAUGCUCAAGGAGAUCAGAGAAACAAGCUGAAUGAAGAGAUCUUGAUCCAUCUCCCGAAUUCCAACCUUGUUCCUGUACAGAGGAAACAUUUUAACGAGAGUAAGGGUGCGACCCUGCUCCAGCAGCUUGUAACCACUGAGAACCAGGGAACCCAGCUGCAGUAUCAGAACAAGUUCUAUUCACUCGCCGCAGCUUGUGCUCUUCUUAAAUACCUAGAGUAUACAGAAAAUAUCCAGUUUCAAAGUAAAUCUCUCCGAGUUGAAUACCAGACAGCGGAGAAGUGCACAACUAUAGACCCUGAGACUGCGGAGCAGAUUGAACUCAUGUCAAGUCUUGGAGAUAAAAAAUCUAAGCUUUCUCUUUUUGGACUUCUCAACAAAUGCUUGACUAGAGGGGGGAUCAGGCUACUGAGAUCCAACCUUUAUCAACCUCCAAUACAUCCGCAGAUGAUUGGUGAAAGGUUGGAAGCAGUUGAGGAGUUGGUAGAGAAUCCAGAGUUAUAUACAGCACUCAGAAACUCUCUCUCCAGGUUUCAAGAUCUAGAACUGAUUCUGUCUCUAUGUGUCCGUCAGAGUAAACCCAACGUUUCCACACACAUCCUAGACCAGAAGAUGGAUCGAAUAAUCGGACUAAAACAGGUUUUAGAGUUUCUAGUUCCUCUAUCUGAAAUCCUAGCUCCCUCUACCUCCACCCUCCUGAAGGGGGCCAGGGACCUCGUCGUUAAACACGGGAAGAACUGUCAGCUUCUCCUCCAGAUGCUUCAUCUCGUUAUCAACGAGUCAGCGACCUCGUCGAAGAAUGCGACCUCGAUGAGGUUCGCGAGGGCGAUGGCAAUCCGUCCAAACACGAACGGAUUGCUGGAUCUGGACAGAGCAGCUUUCUGUGAGAACGUCGAUGAUUUAGAGAGACAUACCAAGAGUCUAGAGGAGGAGUACCAGCUGCCGGUUAGAUUGGUCUGGUCAGGAACGCGUGGCUUUUAUAUCAAUAUACCCCAGGAGAAAGGAAGAACAUUAAGGAUUGAAGAACUUCCAGAUAUUUUCCACAGAGUUCAGAAGAACAAGAACUCCAUCACUUGUGUCACAGAGUUUAUGCUGAUGAAGGAUCGUUUAAUUCAAGGAAAUAUUCAGGAAAUAACCCUGAUAUCUGACACUAUCCUAGAGGAACUUCUAGCUGAGGUUAGAGAAUAUAUAUGGUUUCUCUACCAGCUGAGUGAAACUGUUUCUCUUAUUGACCUUCUUCUUUCUCUAGCCGCAGUGUCAAUGAACCAGGAUUUUACUAAGCCGGAGUUUGGGGACAGUAUUGCAGUGAAGGGAGCUCGGCAUCCCUUCCUGGAGAUGAUGGAUGUAGAAGUUGUCCCUAAUGAUAUACUCGCUGAUCCUGAUCACAGGAUAAUUGUUCUAACAGGACCUAAUAUGAGUGGUAAGUCGACCUACCUGAGACAAGUUAUACUGAUCAGUAUCAUGGCCCAGGUGGGGUGCUUCGUGCCCGCUCAAUCAGCUGUUCUUAGAAUUCCAGAUCGUAUAUUUUCUCGUGUAUCCAACCGUGACAGUAUCGAGACUAACUCCUCCACCUUCAUGAUGGAGAUGAGGGAGAUCUCCUUCCUUCUCCAGCACAGGACAGACAGAUCGUUGAUUAUAAUUGACGAGCUGGGCCGAGGAACUGGAGUAGAUGAAGGUUCAGCAGUCUGCUGGGCAGUAUGUGAGGAGUUACUCAAGGGUGGAUCCUACACCUUCCUAGCAACCCACUUCCAGCUUAUACCUCUUCUAGCAAACAUAUAUCCAGCUGUAGUUAACUAUCAUUUCCUGCUUGACAGGGACCAGGAGCAGGAGGUUCAUUUUACUCAUGUACUAGGUUUGAUGAAAGUUGUUUGAACUUAUUGAGAUCUGUUAAAGGAUUGGUCAGGAUGGGUAUCAGAGACGAAGAUCUAGUUCAGAAUCUCAGGAUGUUGAGAGAACAGUUUCUACAGGAAUCUCCGAACUAGGGGAAAAUCAAAAGCUCCUAGGAUAGAUAAAUCUAAAUCAGCGGACUUAUUAUUAUAAACUACCACAACAUCGUGUUAAGUUAAUCCACAGCAGUGAACUGAAUGAAUAAACACUUGAAUCAGUAAAUGCGCCAAAAUCAGUGAAACAAGAAAAUUGAAUGGAUGGCCAGGAUUAGGUAUUCCGCCUGUUCAGACAACUCACAGUAUUGAUGCCAGAGAAUGUUUGGUUGCUAGGUCUAACUUUAUACUAGAAACCAAGGUUUAUUGAUACAAUUUCUGCAACUUUGCUUCAUUUACUUGCAAAGUGCAUUUUGAUGCUACAACGAGUUGAGAAUUCUAGUGUUGGCAGUGUAGGGAUAAUGUACAACUUUUCCAUAGAAACUUUAUUCACAUCAAAAUAUAAAAUUUAUGAUAUAAAAAAAUUAAUUCCCCUGAAAAUGUUUGAAAGUUAAGUUGAUGUCACAGGGAGAUUUUAUUAUCUAUAAAAGUUUGAUCCUUGUAUUUAAUAUUUAUCCAUCCUUGGGUUCCAGGUCAGGGUUCAAUAUCUGGAGUAAAACUAUCUGGUUCCAACCCAGGAUAGGAUCGCGAGGAAGAGCAGGGUUCAGAUUCUCACGAAAUAUAAUUGAUUUCAAAUCGAGUGUUUUCUUGCAUGCUUGGCAAGCAGGUCCCUUAUAAUUCAUUAACUAGAAAUUCUGGGAGAAAACUCUAAUGAUGUCUCUUAAUCAGUUUUAAUCAUUAUAUCUUAAUUGAGAACCUACAUGUAUCAACUUUAAUAAUUGUUUUAAAAUGUAAUCAUUUGUAUAUUCAUAUUUUUCAGGCAAUCAUAAAAUAUCGUACAUUAUGUUCAUUUGGUAAAAUACUAAAUCUUAAAAAGAUUGUCACAAUUUUUUUCUCUAAUUCAGGUUUAAUA